Molecule: ribosomal RNA, 376 nt
Filed under: uncultured bacterium
Lineage: Bacteria
Description: bacterial SSU rRNA
Rfam family: Bacterial small subunit ribosomal RNA
Source: RNAcentral
AUACGUAGGGGGCGAGCGUUGUCCGGAAUUAUUGGGCGUAAAGGGCGUGUAGGCGGUCAUGCAAGUCGGCUGUGAAACCCCCCGGCUUAACCGUGGGCUUGCAGUUGAAACUGUGUGGCUUGAGUGCAGGAGAGGAGGGUGGAAUUCCUGGUGUAGCGGUGAAAUGCGUAGAUAUCAGGAGGAACACCGGUGGCGAAGGCGGCCUUCUGGCCUGUUACUGACGCUGAGGCGCGAAAGCCAGGGGAGCGAACAGGAUUAGAUACCCUGGUAGUCCUGGCUGUAAACGCUGGGUACUAGGUGUAGGUGGUUUAAUGCCAUCUGUGCCGUAGUUAACGCAUUAAGUACCCCGCCUGGGGAGUACGAUCGCAAGGUUGAA